RNAcentral lists this long non-coding RNA (1073 nucleotides) under Sorghum bicolor (sorghum). RNAcentral's name for it is "long non-coding RNA (SBIC_LNC009194)". Lineage: Eukaryota; Viridiplantae; Streptophyta; Magnoliopsida; Poales; Poaceae. The record is from RNAcentral.
UGAAGAGAAGUGUCAUACUCCCAGAUCAAGAUGUGCAAGUGUGAUAUAUGGUGGACUAGGUUGCUCCUUUAUUUGAUAGACUCUCUAUGUAUUGAGACAUGGCUAGCAUUUUUUUCUUCUUUUUUUUUAUAUAUGAGCUUUCAUGUGCUCAAUUUUCUUUUUCUGUGGACUUGCACAUGUCCAUCUUUUUAUUUCAUUUUGCCUAGCCCUUUUGAUGUCUCAUUUACCAAAUAAUGCUUAGAGAGAUGUUCUAACAUUUAGAGUAUGGAGCAACCUAUUUAGUGGAUGCGAAAUACAUGUGGUUGCGUACUUCCAGUGUAGAAGCAGCAUAUAUAUAUGUGGUGUGUACGUGAUCUUGAUCUUAGGAGCAUGAAAAGUCUCUUAACAAGGGUCAACAAGACUUGACGACAUUCAACACAAAGCAAAUAGCUUAUGUGGAAAGGUUGCAAUUAUGUAAAGUAGAUAUGGCUGUGGUAGGAAUUCAUCACCAUUGAGGAACAAUUAAGGUUUUGAUCAUUUUAAGAAUAAAUCUCUGAUAAUCAUGCAUGCUUAGAAAAAUAUUAUAGUAGCUCUUGUCUUACUAUCUCAUGUCCCACAACAACUUAGACUUAGUUCUAGCACUUGCAACCCACAAAGUUUUUAGGUUCAUGGCAGUUUAAGUGAGCUAAGUGAUCCAUACUUAGAGAAAUACUAAGUUGUAUACUAGGCACUAGAGAAACAUUAACAAGCAACUAGUCAUAAUUUCCAUGAGGGAUAUAAACAUACAUGAAGCAUAUAUGCUAAAGGGAAAUGCUAAUAAAUAUUUAUAUUUUUUUUUAAGUAAGAAUGAUAAAAUGCAUGAAAAUAAAUAGGAUAGAAUACUUACCUUAGUGGGGGAGAGGAUCUCCCCCAAGCUAGAUCUUCGCUCACUGUGGUGGCGGGAAAUUUUGGUACCAUCCAGCCCAGCGUUGUGCGUCUUCCUCUCGCACACGUCGGAUAUGUUGGCCGUUUUGUAACGCCAGUUGCAAUGUUGCUUCUUGCCCAAUCUGCAAUUCGCCCAUGUCAUUAAUGAGACUGUCCAUACCUGUGGGCUG